GGAGGAAAAGAAACCAACAGGGAUUGCCUUAGUAGCGGCGAGUGAAGCGGCAAAAGCUCAAAUUUGAAAUCUGGCACUUUCAGUGUCCGAGUUGUAAUUUGAAGAAGGUAUCUUUGGGUCUGGCUCUUGUCUAUGUUUCUUGGAACAGAACGUCACAGAGGGUGAGAAUCCCGUGCGAUGAGAUGACCCAGACCUAUGUAAAGUUCCUUCGAAGAGUCGAGUUGUUUGGGAAUGCAGCUCUAAGUGGGUGGUAAAUUCCAUCUAAAGCUAAAUAUUGGCGAGAGACCGAUAGCGAACAAGUACAGUGAUGGAAAGAUGAAAAGAACUUUGAAAAGAGAGUGAAAAAGUACGUGAAAUUGUUGAAAGGGAAGGGCUUGAGAUCAGACUUGGUAUUUUGUAUGUUACUCUCUCGGGGGUGGCCUCUACAGUUUAUCGGGCCAGCAUCAGUUUGAGCGGUAGGAUAAUUGCGCUGGAAUGUGGCACUGCCUCGGUAGUGUGUUAUAGCCAGUGUCGAUACUGCCAGCUUAGACUGAGGACUGCGGCUUCGGCCUAGGAUGUUGGCAUAAUGAUCUUAAGUCGCCCG
This 583-nucleotide ribosomal RNA is filed under the name [Candida] sp. RG2. Its description in RNAcentral is "eukaryotic LSU rRNA". It matches the Rfam family "Eukaryotic large subunit ribosomal RNA", at positions 52 to 651 of the family's 3401-position model. Lineage: Eukaryota; Fungi; Ascomycota; Saccharomycetes; Saccharomycetales. The record is from RNAcentral.